Molecule: small nuclear RNA, 117 nt
Organism: Lepisosteus oculatus (spotted gar)
Lineage: Eukaryota; Metazoa; Chordata; Actinopteri; Semionotiformes; Lepisosteidae
Source: Ensembl
GUGUUGUAUGAAAGGAGAGAAGGUUAGCACUCCCCUUGACAAGGAUGGAAGAGGUCCUAGUGGCCCAUGGAGAGGUCCCAUGGAGAAAAGCUGGGGUAUGUGAAAAGACAAAUUCCU